GCAUGUUUAAUGAAGGGAGUAAGAACGGAACGAACCGUAGCUAUGAAACCCAUGAGGGCAGCCCCGUUUUUCACAUAUUAGCUUGUCUUUCGAUUUUUGUUUGAUCGUUUUGACUUGAUAUUUGUGCUUAGGGGUAUGCUAGAAUCGAUAUAUAUUAAAUUCGUAUUUUUCCAAGCAUGAAAAUUGUAUAAGUUUUUAGAGUAUGAUUAUUUAAAUUCGUGAAGUUUGGGACGUUGCAUAAUGAAUAUUAUUGCGUAUAUGUGUUCUACGAUAUCACAUGAGCAUGCUAAUUGAUUUACAAUUUAUGGAUGAUAAUUGUUGAACGAAAUUAAAACUGGAAUUCUGUCAAAAUUUUACAGCAGUUUCAAGCUUAUGUUUCGAUGAGUUUUCAUUGCUUGAUGGCUCUGAAAUUUUAGUAUGUUUAUCUAUGAUAUGUGUAUUUCGUCGCUGCAAAAUUUCAUGUCUUUUGGAUGAUGUUUGCUAUUUUAAAGAUAUUUUGAAAAACCCUUGACAGAAUCUGUCAACUGUUGGUAGACUUCACAAAAACGUUUAUAUCUAUUAAUCCAUGAAGGAUUUUGCAUCACCGUUUUUUUUUAAACGAAACUAGACUUCAAUACUUUUCUGAAAACAUAAGAUUUCGAUUUUUAUGACCUCUGAAAUAGAGCAGUUUAUUAUUUCAAAAAUGCCCUGUUCUGCUGUCAUAUUUGUCCAACAGUAAAAGUGUAUGAGUUUCAUUGUUUAUUUGGCAGAUCAUAUGAACGUUUUCUCUUGUGAAAUUUUAACCAAAUCUUCAAGGAUACCUUUAGUUUUGGAUGAUUAAAUUUGAUGGAAUUUUAUUAAGGUUUGCCUUGGUUUCUAAUGGCCUAAACAAAAUUGGCAGAAACUGUCAAUCUUUGACAGCCUGCACUAAAAGAGCAAUAUCUCCAAAAACCUUUAACCUUUUUGGUUAACUACCAUUUUUAGAGUGAACUACACUUCAUGAAGGUUUUGAGAUCAAUUGGUAUGAGAGUUUAUGAUGAUUGAGUUGGUUGUUAUGAAUUCUUAAAGAUGACACAAAAACAGCAAAACUUUCUAGAAAACAACUUGAUUAUAUUUGUUUUGAUGGAUGAUACGAUAUGACUAAAUGGUGUGAGUUGUGAGAGUUAUGAUUAACGCACAUAAAUGUUGGUAUCUGACACUCGAACAAUUGGUGUCGAGUAUAAAUGAUAGUUUACUGAUAAAGAGUUUUGAUGAUUUUGAAUUGUUUGGUUUGCGUUGAAAAGAUGUCAAGAUGUUAAGUUUUGAGUCGAGAGACGAGUUCACGUAGUGAGAUUCACGCGAUGAAAUCUCGUGGCUGACAUUAUAUAUGAAUGGGUCAUGCCGAAAUUUUUAGUGAAAUUAGGAUUUGAGCAUAGUCAAUUCUUGUUGACCCGUGACUCAAAUACAUGCCUAAUGGAAAGUUUAACUUUCUAAUUGGUUAAUUAGACGAGAUAAGAGCGAAUAGAUCUGCUAAGAAAGUGGACUUUUCGAUGUGUUAAAUAUUUCUUUUAAUUGAAGUGCUGUUAAUUAUAACAUAAGGAUGUUAUAAUUAAUGAGUAAUGACGAGAGAUAAUAAUUGUUAUAUUGAUUAACAAUCAAGAGAGAUGAACAUUAGAGAUACUAAUGUUUCAUAAAAGAGAUUAGAUUAUUAAUCGAGGUUUCUUUUAUAACUUCUCACCAAUUCUUCAUAACGAUGAAGGUCCUUUUUGGGAAGUAACGACUUGAGGGAGAGAGUGACGUUACUCAUUGAUACAGAGACACAACGAGGUUGAGCUGAUGUGAUGAUGGUGCUGCAAUGAGCGGAGUCUCCAGGGUUGUUAAUAAAUAGUUAACCUGUCUAGAAUAUGUCUUCAUACAUAUGUCUAGCUACUUUCCGCUGCAAGAUGUUGUUGAUGUUAUAGUAUGUUAUGUCAUACUUUGAGUCUUAAGAGAAUGGUUUCAUACGAUGUAUAACUUGAUUAAUGAUAUUAAUUAAGUUUUAUGCUGUCUUUCAUAGACUGUUUUCAAUUGAGUAUUAAUGAAUAAAAAUGACGAGUUUUAUUAAGAUGAGUAAGUUUUACGGCUAUAAAUGACGCCCCUUUUCUUCCCCUUCUUCUUUAACCCCAUCCCUAGUCGUGGAUCACUCGGCCUAACUAUCCAUAGUUAGGGCGGGCUGUGACAGAGUGGUAUCAGAGCGAAGGAAAGCUCUGAAUUAGAAGUCUUGAGUUUAGUCUAGAAUGAGUCACUAGACUAAUAGUUAUUAACAACCGUGAGCUCAGCGCACUAUCACACCAGGCUCAACGAGGUAUGUAAAAUUUCAAAGUUUAUUUGACGUUAAAUUUUGAAGAGCACGAUGUUGAGGUUAUAUGAUGAGUUAUGAUGUUAUGCUUUGAAGAUGCAUAGUUUGAGUUUGAGGAUGACAACAUGAUUAAUAAUGAGUUAUUAUGUUGUAAGAGCAUAUGUUGACGUUACAUGAUGAAUCAUGAGAGCGUUUAUAUCAUA
Salvia miltiorrhiza (redroot sage) is the source of this 2499-nucleotide long non-coding RNA. RefSeq lists it as uncharacterized. The record is from RefSeq and is a predicted model, not a curated record. Lineage: Eukaryota; Viridiplantae; Streptophyta; Magnoliopsida; Lamiales; Lamiaceae. The transcript has 2 exons.